Molecule: long non-coding RNA, 1144 nt
Filed under: Homo sapiens (human)
Lineage: Eukaryota; Metazoa; Chordata; Mammalia; Primates; Hominidae
Description: HSALNT0089131
Source: RNAcentral
GAUCCAAAAUUGUCUUCUGGAAGAAACAUCACAAAACUUCAAAGAAAUUAGAAAAAAGUUACCUACAUAGGCAGAGAAUUCAACUGUGAGUUGACAAUUAUUUACGAUUCUCUUAACUGGCUGUUUCACAACGUUAUGGAGCUAAGAAAGGAUGAAAGCUUACCACUGCUUGGAUACCAGCUUGAUAAGCAGCUUGGAAUGUCAAAUAUAUAACAAGAAAGGAAAUAUUCUACUUUAAAGGAACAUGGUAAGUAAAUGAAUAACAUGGACACAACUUAGUAUAAGUUCUUUACCCUAAUAAAUUAAUUAUUCAUUUGCAAAUAUUACCAAAAGUAAAAAAAAUUUAUUUUAUAGAGUGGUUGAUUUUUGUAAUACAUCAAAAACUGUGAUGUUAUACACUUCCCUAUUCUCAUUGCUUAUCUCAUAUCAGUGGUUGAAGUUUCUCCCAAAUAAUUUAGUUUACAUUUAAAGUGGCAAUACAGAUUUUACUUAAUGGACUUAAGUUAUAAUUAGAAACCAGUUUUAUAUACAGAAAAUCCAUAAAUAUAGAACUUUUAUUCCUAUUUUAUCUUUAGGCUAUGCAAAAAAUGGACUAAAAAUUUUUCAUUUGGGUCUUUGUAAUAAACAUGUAAAUACAUAUUUACAAUGGAGAUGCUUCCUGAUAGAAAGUAAACAGAAGUAAUUUUGGUCUUCACUAGAAUCCAUCAUAUCUAUUUUUGAAGAUGAUGUAAUACAUCAUGUUUACUCAAAAUUUGAUUCCUUUUAUACACAUAAUUUAAAUAAUUACUCCACUUUUACCAUUAAUGUUUCAUUCUGUAUUUAAAUUUCCUUCAAGAAAGAUUCCUUGAUCCAGUAGUAGGGAACUCUGUUUCUGUACAGUUAAUGUGUAAUUUUUAUCCUUCUGGCAAUAUUACAAAUACUGAGUCAUUUAAUCUUCAUUGUUUAUUCUCCAGGGGUAAUUCUUGAGUUAUCUCACAUGAUGUAAGUACCAUCUUUGCAGUAUUUCAUGGAUUCCAUUUGUUUUGUCAUAGCCAGAACAUCAUGAAAUCCAGUACUUAGGCCAGACAUAUGUUGAAAGUAUGCCUCCUUUUCCACUUGAAUUGUUAAAUUGUUUACUCCAGCAUCUUUAAGUAUUCCUGUAACC